UCAUUCUCUGUGCUGCCUGCCACUGGCGCUCUUUCUAGGUUGUGAAUUUUUAAAAUAUCUCUAGGGGAGCUCCCACUGUGGCUCAGCAGUAAUGAACCCAACUAGUAUCCAUGAGGAUGCAGGUUGCAUCCCUGGCCUGGAUCAGUGGGUUAAGGAUCAGGCCUUGCUGGGAGCUGUGGUGUAGGUCACAGACGGCAGCUUGGAUCCCAAGUGGCUGUGGCUGUGGCUGUGGUGUAGGCCAUCAGCCGCAGCUCUGAUUGGACCCCUAGCCUGGGAACUUGUAUGCAGCAGGUGUGGCCCUAAACAGACAAAAAAAAAAAAAAAAAGGGUAUUUUAUGCCCUCACCUGCUCCAUAAAAGUUUUUUUUUAAAAGGAGAAUGUGUUAAAACUAUAUGUUCUCACGUGGGAAGUUUACACUAAAUAUAUGUUUAGAUGAAACAAGCACAUUCCAAAACAGUAUAUGAUACAUUCUAUCAUAUACUCUAUGUGCAAAACCAGGUGAGUGUUCCAAAGGCGUAUAUAUUUCUGGACUGUGCACUGGUUUUACAAGUGUUCAUUCAUUUUGUUUGGUUGGUUGGGUGUUUUUAACUUGUGUCACUUCUCAGUGCGACAUUUGGCACCAGCCAGGUCCCGUUGGCCUCUGAGGCCUCUGUGCCGCCCCGCAGCCUCCUCGCCACCAGAGGGCGCCCGGAGCAACAUCAGCUCGGUUACAUUUCUCCAGCUUCACUGAGCUCAGGAAGACAGCAGUGAGCAGUGAGUGAUGGCUUGAGGUGAGAGCUUACUUCCCUGCUCAGGAACUGAACCUGGACAGCCAGCGUGAGAACCGGGAAUCCUAACCACUACACCAUGGGAGGCUAGUGGCUGGAAGCAGAGCCGCUGGAUCUUGUCUGCCUUGUAAACAAAAAUUUUACAAAGUGAUGGAAGCUAUGAAACAGACGUGGAGUUUAUUACUAUAAGCACAGCACAUGUGGAAGAGCACACAGGCAGCUGAGAAGCAAAACAGCACACUCAGAGAGGAGUGCGGAUGUCCCUGCCCAAGGGGUGAUUUAAAUCACUUACGUAAGGGGAGUUCCCUGGUGGGUAGGCAGGUUAAGGAUCUGGCCUUGUCACUGCUGUGGCUCCAGUUGCAGCUGUGGCACAGGUUCAGUCCCUGGCCUGGGAACUUCUGAAUGCCAGAGACAUGGCCCUCCCUCCAAAAAAAUCACUUAUGUAGGGCAUUCAUCCAGGUCUUUGUUUUCUUUGAUCUUUUUGAUCUUGUUUUAUUUCUCACACCUGUUCAGACCCCGGCACUCCCUGAUACGCAUACACAACUUUCAGCCAAGAUGGAUUCCAGUGCAGGGUUUAUGAGAGGUUGGCAAUACCUAUUAUGGGAUGGCAGCCCCCCCCCCUUUUGACCCCCAAGGAGUCUUUCUGAGCAUGUGUAGUCAGGGAGGUCUCCUUGACCUCAGGAGUGACUGACCUGCUCAUCUCUUUCUGGGGGGCCACACCCCAGACCUGUGGAAGUUCCUGGGCCAGGGAUCAACUCUGCACCACAGCAGCAGCCCAAGCCUCUGCAGGGACAAUGCUGGAUGCUUAACCUACUGAGCCACAAGAGAACUCCUGAUGUGUUCAUCUAAUCUUUUUAGUUCCAGCAGAGCUCAGCUCCUGCCAUUAACUUCCUCCUUGAGGUGUCAAAGAGAAACAAGGCCCAAUUUACUCAGCCCAACAAGUUUCAGCUGUUCUCAGCCCUGGGGCCCAUCUAGAUUCUACCUCAAACUGUCGCAGGCUCUUCAAAGCUGGAAGAGGAGAAAGAAUGGAGGUGAUACUUCCCGAGCACCUACAAUGUGCAGGACUGUCCCUCUGCACAUAGCAUCUUAUCAAAUGCUCACAACUAGACUGAUGAUAAUCCCCAGAUUUUUUCAGAUGAGAACACUGAGAUUCUGAGAGAUUGAUUUACCCAAGCUCACGAGCUAGUCACCGGCAGAAUCAGAAUCCAGAUGCAGGCCAGCAAGGGAUCCUAAAGUUUUGCUUUACCCCCGUAAAGCCCUCACUUGUCCCCAAAUUUAUGGAUGAAGAAAGAAAAUCCAGAAUCGCAGGCUCAAUUAAGGUUUGACAGAAGGACGAAUGAACGAAUGAUUCCAGCAGCAACCAAGAGUUGUGUGCAGGGAACACCAAGGUGCCGGGGAGCAGGCUGAGGUGCGUGCAGCCAGUGGCCGGGAGAAACAGGAUAUACUCUCUUCCCUCUCAUAAGCACCAGGGGACACCUGGGCCAGGCCCUGUGCUGACAAAGAGCCCACAGACACACAAAGUGGGUCCCUGUUAGUUCUGUGAAAAGCCAGUCCUACGAGGGUCUUCAGCAUUUGAGUUUGAUAAAAACCCAGCAGCAGCAGCAGCAGAGCAGCAAUCCACAGCCGCUCCUACCGUUCAUUCUGCAUAUAAUUCGAAAGGGGUCUCAGCCCCCAGAAUUCCAGUCAAGGGCCGCAGCUUAAGUACCCCUAGUCUAAGCAGAACGAGAAAAAUCGAAUGAGUGCUGGAAGCGCGAGCCGGGCCAGACAGAAGCGAGGAAAGAAGCCGGGGCCUCGGAGGAGGUGGCGGGGACAAGGCCUUGGAGGCAGGGAAGGGACGGCGAUGGGAGGCCCUUGGGUCCGUUUUAGGAAACUUGUUUCAUUCCCCAUAAGCCGAAGGGAGCAAAGGUUCCAGGGCGAGAAGGCCCCUGACCUCCAGGCCGGCUCAGGAAGAUGACGCAAGCGGCCCGCGCGGCGGCCCCGACAGGCGACUGCCC
RNAcentral lists this long non-coding RNA (2761 nucleotides) under Sus scrofa (pig). RNAcentral describes it as "lncRNA (ENSSSCG00040075777.1)". Lineage: Eukaryota; Metazoa; Chordata; Mammalia; Artiodactyla; Suidae. The record is from RNAcentral.